RNAcentral lists this transfer RNA (70 nucleotides) under Ancylodactylus uzungwae. RNAcentral's name for it is "tRNA-Ala". The record is from RNAcentral. Lineage: Eukaryota; Metazoa; Chordata; Lepidosauria; Squamata; Gekkonidae.
SAGAGGCCUUAGCUUAAUUARAGUGUCUGAGUUGCAAUCAGAGGUUGUAUUUUAUAAUUUUACAGGUCUU